GAACCAGUGAGCUAGGCUGGGAGAGCCCGACUCCGUGCACACACACAGCAGGAUAUGUCUCCCAGAGCUUCCUUUUCCAAGUCGGGACUGGGAAGGACACAGAAUCAUCAGGAGAUGAUGCUGGUGUCAUUGCACUCCAACCAGCCAGGGAGAGGAGAUGUGAGUAACCGAGUCCAAGCCUGGAUUUCUGAGGCUGAAACUGACAGCGAUCUGUGCCCGGAAGCCAGGCACGACGGCAGCCAGGACGUGUGCAAGGGAGAGCUCGUGGCCCUCGGCCUCUGCAGGGACACAGCCGAGACGCAGGUCCCACAGGUAAAAGGUGAAGACUUGGAACAGAGAAGCAGCUGGAAUACUGUGAGCAAGAAACAAAAAAAUCCACAGGAAUUGUGGGAUGUAGAAGAGCAAAGAAGAAGGAAGAGGAAAAGACAGAGGAAUCCUAGAAAUCCUGAGGCAGGUGGCCUGGGAGAAACUCCACAAAAAGCUGGGUGAAGGAUAUUGAACAAUAAGAAUGUCCAAUCAUCAGAAGAACAGUUAUUUUAUGCAAAGCAUCAGCAUCAGAUAUACAAAUUGCCAAUAUUUACUAGGUUUAUAAGUGCUAGAUUUGGGGGAAAGAGAGAUCAAUACUAGUUCCUCUCUAAAAUAUAUCUCUUAGAUACUACAAUUGAGUUCUUUUUGCCUUGUCUGCAGUGGACAUUUGGUUACACUGAGCUCUAAGGAGCAACCCCAAUUUUUUUGUCAAAUUCAAAUUUAUCUUGAUCAUAUAUUCUUUUAGAAUAUUUAUAAGCCAGAACUUGAAUAUAUCUUGUGCUGUGCAAACACUGUCCGAAUUGUUCGAUCUGUGUCUGUGUGUUUGGACUGGUCAAAUCUGACCCUUCAGAUUGUAAAGCCUUUAGGAGUAACUCUAAAAUAUAAAUAUUUCUGUAGCCCCUGCAUUUGUCACAAGAAAAUUAUUAUUGAUUAUGAUCGUGAUGUUUGAAUCCUGAAGUCUGUGUACAAAAGUAAAAUAUUUAUACACGUUAAUACAACUCCAGUCGGCUUCCCCCUAUCUGUUUCUUUCACUUGUGUCUUCGCUUCAUUUGGUACUGUCAAUCAAUCACUUAUUGAAUGACGCUUCUUCAUGGGCUGCCAUUAUAUUAAGUUCUUGGCUCUCCUCCUAGCUCCCUGCUUCCUCAUUGCCCCCAGGUAUCUUUGGCUUUCUCUCACCUCUUAAUUUUGAAUAUUACACAUCAGUCUUUCUGAAGCUUUCCUUUUCCUUGCUCCCAUUAUCACCUCUAACCUAAUGCUCCUAUUUCACAUUUCCAAAUUUUACUUAGCUUUGAUCCUAUAGUUUCUAGUCCUCCAGGAUGUCUCCUCUAAAACAUUCUGCCAUCAUUGCUAAUUCAGUUUGGUCCAAAGCCUUCUCUCACUAUCAGCAUCAAUACCAUUACUAUUGUCUUUCAAUCCUACAAAGGAAACUUUGAUGAUAGCUUUGAAUUAUUCUUUCUGAUUC
Bos indicus x Bos taurus (hybrid cattle) is the source of this 1489-nucleotide long non-coding RNA. NCBI's taxonomy places the organism in Eukaryota, Metazoa, Chordata, Mammalia, Artiodactyla, Bovidae. The record is from Ensembl.